RNAcentral lists this unclassified non-coding RNA (232 nucleotides) under Hevea brasiliensis (rubber tree). The record is from RNAcentral. Lineage: Eukaryota; Viridiplantae; Streptophyta; Magnoliopsida; Malpighiales; Euphorbiaceae.
AGAUACUAAGUUUCCUCCAACAAAAAUACAAUAUCCUGUAAUGGAUCUUCUAUCAAUCUUUGAACCUGUCCAAUCUGCAUUUGAAAGCCACUCAAUAUUUAAGUACCCAUGAUUGCUAUAUAAGAGACCACGACCUGGAGCACCCUUUAAAUAACAUAAAAUUUGCCCUAAAACUUCCCAGUGGUUAUCAGUAGGAGAAGACUGUUAGAAUCUCUUAAUUAGUGCAUUAGCU